CCUGCGCCGCCGUCGCUGCUUCGCGCGGCGCAACCGCUGCUGCACACCAGCAGCUCGCCUGCGAUGAGCGCCCCUCCUGAUACAGGUGCGCUUUGGCGCUGAGUACAGAAGGCGAGGUGUGGGGGGGUGUUUUAAUAGCAAUAAACAGUACAACUCUCACCUCCCCCUCUCUCAAAGGAAAGCGGACUACUCACGAAUCAAACAACCAAGGUGCUGGGCUCCUCCUUCGAUCCAAAGGUCGGCGUUGGACCUGAUGGUGCUCAGCAGCUGUGUAACGUCGGAGGAUGCGUUACGAAAGCACCGAACGUUACGCUCCUUCCAAAUCUCCCAGGCUACUAAUGCGAAGAGGGUGUCGGCUCCUUUCUGACGUUCACCGUGCCAGCGCAACCUCCAACGGUCCCACCAUGCCAGAAGGGUCUCAUCGCCAACCCAGGAUGCGUCGGCUCCAAGUACUGAGAGUAUGGUCCACCAGACCUGACGUGAGAACGAGCAAGAAGCCACGAUAUGAUCGAUAGUCUCUGGGUCUUGAUCGCAGAGGUAGCAACUGUCGACGGCUUGCAGGCCGUGGCGUCGCAACAUUGCCAUUACAUGACUGACUAUCAGCUGGAAGAAUCUCAAGAUAAGCUAAGGUUUUCUUAUUUCUGGGUUUCCAAAUUAAAACACUGUAUCUCAGCUCUUUUAUGAUAUGUGUUCCCUGAUAAAUAAGAGAUCAUGGGAAAUUGCAUGCCCAUAAA
Molecule: long non-coding RNA, 734 nt
Organism: Sorghum bicolor (sorghum)
Lineage: Eukaryota; Viridiplantae; Streptophyta; Magnoliopsida; Poales; Poaceae
Exons: 2
Source: RefSeq, a predicted model, not a curated record